This is a long non-coding RNA of Phyllostomus hastatus (greater spear-nosed bat), 821 nucleotides long. RefSeq lists it as uncharacterized. The record is from RefSeq and is a predicted model, not a curated record. NCBI's taxonomy places the organism in Eukaryota, Metazoa, Chordata, Mammalia, Chiroptera, Phyllostomidae. The transcript is spliced from 3 exons.
UGUCCCCAAAUCACACCGGGAUAAUGGCAAACAUUUUUGUAGCGUGCUAUUCUUCUAAGGUUUUUUUAUAUGCAUUAGCUCCGGGAAUCCCUGCCACAGCCCCGUGAGGCAGAUCCCAUUGUACAGCGGAGUAAACUGAGGCACGGAAGUGCGAACUAGCCCGUCGGGCGCAGCUUGCUCAGUGGCCAAGUUCUGAGUCAUCGUUUGCUGCCUUCAGGUGGUGGUAACGCAGCCCGCAAACCUUCCGUGGAGGUAGCUCGCUGACCUGUGUCCCAGAGGCAGAAAUGUCUUCAGCUGUGCCAGGAGUGUCGGUGAAACAGAGGCUGGGACCGACAGGAAGCCACUGAGAAAGAGGGGGAAGCGUCCGUUGCCGGACCUACUGCUUUUUAAUCCCCGCUGGACCUGGGGCCCACGCCUGCUGCACCCCCAAUCCCGGCGCUGCCCGACCCGCCGCCGGAAGACACGGGAGCGGCACCGAAAACAAAACGCCGGCCGCUUCCCAGAUCUUUCCCGUGACUCCCGGAUGAGACACAUUUGGGGGUACUUCUGAAAAAAGAAAAGAAAGAAAACAUUCCAUGCUUCUGCAUACAGAAUGAAUCAACUUCUUUGUCUUCCAGAAGUGUUCUUGGUUUCUUUCAUACUGACACUUGAUAGCUAAGCAAGACAGUCAAGUUGUCAUCACUGGUGCUACUGCCUGGAAGAGUCUCAGAUGCUUUAUGUCUGGUUAUAAGAAUGUUCGUGAAGCCCUGGCUGGCGUAGCUCAGUGGACUGAGCUCGGGCUGCGAACCAGGCAUUGUAGGUUCGAUUCCCAGUCAGGGCAC